This 253-nucleotide ribosomal RNA is filed under the name uncultured bacterium. RNAcentral's name for it is "partial 16S ribosomal RNA". It matches the Rfam family "Bacterial small subunit ribosomal RNA", at positions 524 to 776 of the family's 1533-position model. The record is from RNAcentral.
UACGUAGGUGGCAAGCGUUAUCCGGAUUUAUUGGGCGUAAAGGGAACGCAGGCGGUCUUUUAAGUCUGAUGUGAAAGCCUUCGGCUUAACCGGAGUAGUGCAUUUGAAACUGGGAGACUUGAGUGCAGAAGAGGAGAGUGGAACUCCAUGUGUAGCGGUGAAAUGCGUAGAUAUAUGGAAGAACACCAGUGGCGAAAGCGGCUCUCUGGUCUGUAACUGACGCUGAGGUUCGAAAGCGUGGGUAGCAAACAGG